UGUCACCAUUAUCCACACCGAAGUCUCAAGUUCUCCUUCUAAGACGGCAACAUCAGGACCUUACCAGACCCACCUCUGCAGCAACUGUUUCCAUUUUCUUCCCAGAAUGAUGUACUGCUGGACAGAUUGCCCCAAAGAUCAAUUUGAU
Molecule: long non-coding RNA, 148 nt
Organism: Neomonachus schauinslandi (Hawaiian monk seal)
Lineage: Eukaryota; Metazoa; Chordata; Mammalia; Carnivora; Phocidae
Exons: 3
Source: RefSeq, a predicted model, not a curated record